UCUUCCUCUCAUUAGCUCUACUCAUCUGAAUCUGAAAGUGAGUCUGCAAGUCUUCCUAUAUCUCAAACCGGUCAAACAUUAUUUGAGUGAGUUACUGCUAACGAUAUCGCGCCAUUGCAUCACUAAAAUGCGGGUUAAAUUGGCUCGGAUCCGCAUACAAGAAAUCAAAGAUGUUCAUGUCCCAAUUGAUCCCCCCNNNNNNNNNCCCCCCCCAAUUCGUAACUGUGAUAUUAAGGAGGCAGUUGGGAAAUAUUUGGCUCUUGCAGAACUUUUUGCUCCCUCUGUUGGUAUUCAGCUUCCUCUUUAGCUUUUGUUCUUGGUUAAUGUACCAGAAUCCUUGUUAAACCAUCCAUAUAGCCUUUGUUAAUUGCUUCUUUGGAAGGAAAUAAAAGAUCACCUUCCUCUCAAGGGACACCUGUAGUUUUGCAAAAUUCAUUAAUGAUGCAACAAUUCUGAAAAACUAUCUAUAAUUUGAGCAAAAAUAUGUUGUUUACAUGCUUUAUGAGAAUUCAUAUUGUAAACAUAAGCACUUAAUCCUUUCAUUGAUUGUAAUUUUUCAAAGCUUAUGGUCUUGUGACCCAUUUUGUUGUACUUUUUCAACUCAAAAUUCAUUUUUCCUAUCAUAUUCCAAAACAAA
RNAcentral lists this long non-coding RNA (637 nucleotides) under Lathyrus oleraceus (garden pea). RNAcentral's name for it is "Pisum sativum (pea) long non-coding RNA (PSAT_LNC007929)". The record is from RNAcentral. Lineage: Eukaryota; Viridiplantae; Streptophyta; Magnoliopsida; Fabales; Fabaceae.